Molecule: ribosomal RNA, 511 nt
Filed under: uncultured bacterium
Lineage: Bacteria
Description: partial 16S ribosomal RNA
Rfam family: Bacterial small subunit ribosomal RNA
Source: RNAcentral
UGGGGAAUAUUGGACAAUGGGGGCAACCCUGAUCCAGCAAUGCCGCGUGUGUGAAGAAGGUUUUCGGAUUGUAAAGCACUUUCGACGGGGACGAUGAUGACGGUACCCGUAGAAGAAGCCCCGGCUAACUUCGUGCCAGCAGCCGCGGUAAUACGAAGGGGGCUAGCGUUGCUCGGAAUGACUGGGCGUAAAGGGCGUGUAGGCGGUUUGUACAGUCAGAUGUGAAAUCCCCGGGCUUAACCUGGGAGCUGCAUUUGAUACGUGCAGACUAGAGUGUGAGAGAGGGUUGUGGAAUUCCCAGUGUAGAGGUGAAAUUCGUAGAUAUUGGGAAGAACACCGGUGGCGAAGGCGGCAACCUGGCUCAUAACUGACGCUGAGGCGCGAAAGCGUGGGGAGCAAACAGGAUUAGAUACCCUGGUAGUCCACGCUGUAAACGAUGUGUGCUAGAUGUUGGGUAACUUAGUUAUUCAGUGUCGUAGCUAACGCGAUAAGCACACCGCCUGGGGAGUAC